ACCUAACCGAUGAGUUCCAAAUAGGACGAAAUGUGUGUCCUGGAU
RNAcentral lists this non-coding RNA (45 nucleotides) under Schistosoma curassoni. The record is from RNAcentral. Lineage: Eukaryota; Metazoa; Platyhelminthes; Trematoda; Strigeidida; Schistosomatidae.